GGGACCCACAGAGGCUGGCAGGAGGGCGAGCCCCACGUGAGCCACGGCAGGUUAAAAACCUGAAGGGUGGCCCUGACGGGACAGCGGACUUCACAGCGUGCCACUUGUGCAAUACGAGGUCCUAGGGUAAAACUUUCAAGAUCAAGAGGGGUGUUGGAAGGAGACAGUUACCGCUCAGAUGUGUGCCACUGAACUUGUAUUUGAAUGACUUAGUGAUGCUUAAUGUAAUUGGGCAACUUUUUUAGCACUUUGGAAAGAGUCAUCAAUCUUUCUGGUAAAUUAUAAAAGUUUUCUGAGUGAGAAAAGGUGUGUUUGGAGUUUGUUUGACUUUUUAUAUUAUUAUUAUUGUUAUUAAUAAAGAAAAAUCUACAGCAUUUUUCAGAUUCCACUGAGGUAAUACAUACCCCUGAAUUUGGUUUGCAGUUUGAUACUCAGGGAAGGAUGUAUUCCAUAGAUAUCCUUUCCGCGUAAAACACUAAUGUCUUUGAGAUAGUCACCUGCCAACUAACUUUGAUUCUGUUUUCACUAUGCAUUCUUCAAUGAAAGCUAGCUUAUUUUUCCAUAUAGUGAUACAGUUAGAGUUCUCUGCACUUUCUUCUCUCCUUUUUUUAACUCCUCGUAUUAUGUUCAGAUGAUCAUACUGUCAAGGUUUAUGUACAUUACUGAAAAUUUGUAUUGUAUAAAGCUUUUUGCAUUACAAGGCUGUACAGGGUCAUUUUGACAGUAACUGGUAUAUUCCUUUGCAUCUUAUGUUGCAUUGCAACUAGAAAGAGUGAAGCUGAUAAGAGGGGAGAGCCAAUCCCAGGGCGCUUUGGCAAGAUAGUUACUGCAGUGAGCAACUGGAUUCAGUCACCGUGGGAACCUCCUGAGGAGCCGUGUAAAAGUGUCUCCGGAUUGACAAGUCACAUGAGAGAAGGCAGAAGGGGCCAGAGUGGCCGCAGUCUGUGUCAGUUCCCUCGCACUUCCAGCUUUGCCCGUGAUUUGGAAUGACUGAGAAGUUCCCCACAGCCAGCCACAGAGGCGGCAAAGAAGCCACUGGUGCAGAAUGUAAGAGAUUGUUGGAGAGGUGCUGUCAGCCACACCUGACCGUUACUGCAGCAAAGGCUGGAAAAAAGCAGAUAAGUCUGUGAGAGGCAGAGCCAUAGGUAUCUGAUAAGAUAGUCAUAUUUGGCAUAAACGUUGACAUCCCUUUAUUAGCCUCUAAACCAAUGUUGGCUGUACAUCCAACCUAUUCGGUUAGCUUGUUGACCUUCUCCUUUCCCCCACUGGGAGCUGGGAAGAACUAAGACAGUGUUGGCUUGUGGUGUUUCGGAAGGAAAGAGGUGGGCCUGAGAAGCAGGUAUUAAUAAAGGCUCUCCCACCUGUAUAUCCAGAGAGAAACUAUAAAGUCUCUUUAGAGCCCUCCCUCCUCUGGAUUCCCCUUUUGAUUUCUCUAAUGAGACUGAGUCUUUCUGGGACUUGACUGAGAGGAAGUUGCUUGACAGGGACGUGGGCUGUCCCCCACCUCAGCCUCCUGGACUGGGAAAGCCACUUGAGAGCCACAUAAAGCAGCCACGCCUCAGGCUUCGCGGCCAGCCUCAAGCCCAAGCAAAAAGCAUCCUGGUGGCUCUCACAGGUCCUAACUGAUCACGAAUGCUGGUCCAACGAAGGGGCUGGCAGCCAGAACUCAUCUGAGAAUAAAAGCGCUGCAUUCACCUGGCGUUUUCUUUAUACAUGAACCUCCCAGA
Long non-coding RNA from Cervus hanglu yarkandensis (Yarkand deer), 1727 nucleotides. NCBI's taxonomy places the organism in Eukaryota, Metazoa, Chordata, Mammalia, Artiodactyla, Cervidae. The record is from Ensembl.